RNAcentral lists this ribosomal RNA (253 nucleotides) under uncultured bacterium. Its description in RNAcentral is "partial 16S ribosomal RNA". It matches the Rfam family "Bacterial small subunit ribosomal RNA", at positions 524 to 776 of the family's 1533-position model. The record is from RNAcentral.
UACGGAGGGUGCAAGCGUUGUCCGGAUUUAUUGGGUUUAAAGGGUGCGUAGGCGGCUAUCUAAGUCAGUGGUGAAAUCCUGCAGCUUAACUGUAGAACCGCCAUUGAUACUGGAUGGCUUGAGUACAGACGAGGUAGGCGGAAUUUAUGGUGUAGCGGUGAAAUGCAUAGAUACCAUAAAGGACACCGAUUGCGAAGGCAGCUUACUAGGCUGUAACUGACGCUGAGGCACGAAAGCGUGGGGAUCAAACAGG